Molecule: ribosomal RNA, 132 nt
Filed under: Entamoeba histolytica
Lineage: Eukaryota; Evosea; Mastigamoebida; Endamoebidae
Description: partial small subunit ribosomal RNA
Rfam family: Eukaryotic small subunit ribosomal RNA
Source: RNAcentral
UUUAGCAUUGUUUCUAGAUCUGAGUAUAUCAAUAUUACCUUGUUCAGAACUUAAAGAGAAAUCUUGAGUUUAUGGACUUCAGGGGGAGUAUGGUCACAAGGCUGAAACUUAAAGGAAUUGACGGAAGGGCAC